Ctenopharyngodon idella (grass carp) is the source of this 2623-nucleotide long non-coding RNA. RefSeq lists it as uncharacterized. The record is from RefSeq and is a predicted model, not a curated record. NCBI's taxonomy places the organism in Eukaryota, Metazoa, Chordata, Actinopteri, Cypriniformes, Xenocyprididae. The transcript is spliced from 3 exons.
AUGGAUUAGUUUUGUAUACAUAUUUAGAAAAGCUUUAAAAGCUUUUCAAGAACCCGGCCCUGAGAUUCAUAUCCCUGAUCGAUCCCGUGUUAAAAUGGACGCAUGAGUGCCGAUCAGCAGUGAAGUCAUUAGGACACAAUCAUGACGGCCUCCAUUUACCCUGCCAGUGUUUCCGCCCACCCUAUCAUCUGCAGGAAAUGAACGCUGGGAUACGGAUAACACUCAUGAAUGCCCUCUGUUUCCUUCUCUCUCCCCAUGAGGUGGAAACAGUCAAACAGUCAAAACACAGUAAAGCAGCCAUUAUGAAUCCGGAAACUUCAUCUCCGGCCAAAGUAUGUCAUGCAGAUGGUUCUCAGGGCAGAACGACCCCUGCUCGGCCAACCGAGAGAGAUUUCAUGAUCGCGGCGCGGCCGUGACGGAUCAGGCCUUCGACGUGUUAUGACAGCCUUGUGUUUUUGCGUCUCGACUCGAGCCAAGAGUCAUGGUGGGAGAUGCAUAAAAGCUCGAGCUGAAGGCAUUCUCAUCUCAUCUGACACACUGAGACUGAAGCCGAGGCAUGUGACCUCCAGCAGGGGGCGGUGUUGCAUGAAAACAAAGACUGGCCUUUAGCUAAUGAAUGUGUUUUUCAUAGAGGCAGCAGCAGACCGGAUCUCCAGGGAUUUACAGUGAACGCUGUGUGACCCAGAUGUCAACUGUAAAAGCUUGAAACGCAUCGGUGUGGAUUUACUAUCACGGUUUCAAGAAGAUUCCUUCUACAGACGUCAGGAUUUUUGUGAAGCAGAUUCAUGUGAAGUCCAGCUCUGGAAUGUGGUGUGAUCACAGCCACUUCAGCUCUAUAUCAGUGCUGCUGAACCUCAUUGGUCCGUGUGAAGUGUGGGAAUAUUCCAGCUCUCUCUGAACCCUGUUAUCAAUCGGGAGUGUCGCUGAUAAUCGGUGAUGAAUGUGAUACAGAAGACGAGCCACUCGCAAACAUUCCUACAGCUGGCUUUCAGAUGCCGCAGUCUCUCUACUCUGAAGUGUCUCCACAUCCACCCCGUCGUCUCACCACACCCUGGGCUUUGGCAGGGAGACAGCGGGAAUUGAACACAUCCCGUUUAGACGGGGCCCGUGUGUGCUGAAAAACACACAUGGCUUUGUGGGAAGGUCUGGAUGUCAUUAAACUCCUACGACUCCCAAGACUGUUUGUUUCUCGCUCUGUAUCUCACACACAUGCAGUGCUUACUAUGUCUCUCUCUCUCCCUCUAAAUCAGUAUUUCUGAACGCAGAGUCCAGCUAGAUACAUAAUUACAUAUCCACUAACCAUUCAGAAACAUCUACAAGUUGUAAGUUCUUCCUGAGUCUCUCCAUCAGUGUCGACUCCGGUUUGAACAAUGUAAGGCUGAACACCGUCGUCAUUUUGGCUGCGUGAGAUUCUCCAGCUUUGUUGUUGUUGAGCAACCGAAGCGUGAGCUGUUAAAGCUCCGCCCUCUUCUGGAAAGGGGGCGGGAGCAGCAGCUCAUUUGCAUUUAAAGGUACACACACAAAAACAGCGUGUUUUUGCUCACACCCAAAUAGGGGCAAAUUUGACAAGCUAUAAUAAAUGAUCUGUGGGGUAUUUUGAGCUGAAACUUCACAGACACAUUCUGGGGACACCAGAGACACAUAUUACAUCUUGUGAAAGGGGCAUUAUAGGUCCCCUUUAAUGUGUACCUUUUCGUUUUGGAAUUUUCUCUGUGAACGCACUAUUUAUACUUAAAAUCUACAGGUGAAUCUGAUCAAAAAAAAAAAUCAAACACCUUGGCAAAUCUGAGCACUGACUACAGACAUCAGUCUAUUUACCAACAACUGUAACUCACUAUCCUGUUGAUUUUUAAAAAAUUAAAUAAAUAAAUCAGAGCAACAAACGAAACAAUCAUCCAAGGAAAUGUAGAGGAUGCUUUAAUCACCAGCAGCCCAAACUCACGAGAGACUCGCUGAACACAACACGCACGACCACUUCCUGUUUCAGUCAUGCACGGGGACUAUGGGAAAAUCAUGAGAUAAAUGGAGCGAGGCCAGCGAGUGUCCGUUUCAGAUGACCUCAUCUUUUCCGAAAGCUCGUCUCAUACGCCCGUUCGGACAGAUGUGAGGAUCUCAAGCUUGAACUCACUGUCAGGAUAUUCUGCUGUGAUACUCAAGUUUGACACCGCUGUGAAAAUACAAGUCACACAACGACCCGCAGAGAAGACGCAUUAAUGAGAAAAACACCAGAGAAAGUGAGAUGAAGAGCGAGAGAGAGAGAGAAAUCGGUGUUACAGAUUAGCAUGUGACCUUGAAAGCCGCCCUCUAAUGCUCUGGAUUCGUGCUUGCGGUGUCUGUUCCUUUACAUCUAAUUUUGAGGGAUAAAAACCUCCAAACGGAGGCAGAUGGCAACUUGUGUGUGCUUUUAAUUGCUUUGCAUUUUACAGCGACAGAUCGUCCUUUAGAAAUGAACAAGAACUGUGUAUUUGUUAACAUUCACAAGAUCAGCGUCUGAAUGCACAGAGAACAGCACUAGUUAAUGGAUUUCCAGACAUUUCUGAUAUUUAUGCAUUCAUGCAUCUUUUCAGUGGAAAUGUCAUGAUGUUUCUGCACAUCUGUGCUGGAAUAAAAAUGAGUGAAUCUC